Molecule: ribosomal RNA, 513 nt
Filed under: Aliolimnatis michaelseni
Lineage: Eukaryota; Metazoa; Annelida; Clitellata; Hirudinida; Hirudinidae
Description: eukaryotic LSU rRNA
Rfam family: Eukaryotic large subunit ribosomal RNA
Source: RNAcentral
GACCAAGGAGUCUAACACGUGCGCGAGUCGCAGGGUCGUACGAAACCCGAGGGCGUAACGAAAGUGAACGAGAUCUUCGGAUCUAUCGGGUGGGAUCUCGAAGCCUUUUCAACGAGGCGACGGGCGCACCACCGGCCUGUCUCGGCCGCAGCGUCGGCGAGGCGGAGCAAGAGCGUACGCGUUGGGACCCGAAAGAUGGUGAACUAUGCCUGAGCAGGACGAAGCCAGAAGAAAUUCUGGUGGAGGUCCGCAGCGAUUCUGACGUGCAAAUCGAUCGUCAAACUUGGGUAUAGGGGCGAAAGACUAAUCGAACCAUCUAGUAGCUGGUUCCUGUCGAAGUUUCCCUCAGGAUAGCUGGCGCUCAUCGAAGCAGUUUUAUCCGGUAAAGCGAAUGAUUAGAGGCCUUGGGGACGUACAGACCUCAACCUAUUCUCAAACUUUAAAUGGGUAAGACGUCCGUCUCGCUCGAUUGGAGUCGGACACGCGAAUGCGAGUGCCAAGUGGGCCAUUUUU